Molecule: long non-coding RNA, 1753 nt
Filed under: Homo sapiens (human)
Lineage: Eukaryota; Metazoa; Chordata; Mammalia; Primates; Hominidae
Description: HSALNT0315759
Source: RNAcentral
AGCAGCCCAGGCGAUCCCAAGGCGCACAAGUGCUCUCACCAGGCUGCGCGCUGGCGGGUCGGUGCACAGGGACGGGGUCGCCGCCCACGCGCGCUUGGUUCAGGGAGCCCAGGCUGUCCCUACCCGCGGCUACAAAAGCUCGCCGAGUCUUCCUGUCCACCCAAUCGCCCCACAUGUCAGCGGUUGGUCGCCUCGCGGUGCAGUGCUGGGCACGCGAGCCCCUCCCGCAGUCAUUCUCAGCACAAGCACCAGCCUGGAGCCCCGCAGCGACAGAGCUGAGAGCCCCCAAGCCGCAGAGGUCGUGCGGAGCAGGUUGCAAAUGUCUUAGAAACACACUCCUGGACCACAGCUUCAAGAGACGCAAGCAGUCACCUCAUCUGCUGGUUUCCAAGCUGCCCUGCCAGAAGCAGGUCAGGGGUCCCACAGGGGUCCUCAGUAACUCCUCAAAAUCCUCUCCCAUCAAUGGCCCCACCAGAUCAUCCCUACUUUUGAAUGCUUGUCCAAUGCAGGUUCCAGAUUUGAUUAAGUGAAACAAAGCCCCAGCUGCUGGAGCAGAGGUUCCACUUGGGUUCCACAGACACCCACAGCCCAAAUCCCUGGAGGCCUAAGGCAAUAGCUAAUUGAGACUAUGCAUCACUAUUAAGGCAUCUUCACUAAAGGGCGCUGUGGAAACGCUGCCUGAGAUGCAGACACCUGUCAGAAGGGGGCUAAAUUUCAAACAAGGAACGUGGUGUUGCAUCACAAUAAAUAGAUACGGGGUUUCACCGUGUUAGCCAGGAUGGUCUCGAUCUCCUGACUUCAUGAUUCACAUGCCUCGGCCUCCCAAAGUGCUGGGAUUACAGAACAGAAGAAACACACGUGUUCUUGUGUGUAAACCCAGUCCAUGGAAGAGACCGUCUGCUUGUCCCUCCUGAUCUCUGGGCCCAGACAACCAGUAGUCACCAUUCCAAGUGAGGGGUGGCUGCAACUCUACAGCCCCGUUCGUCUCUCCUCACUGUCAAAGCUGCUGAGACCCCAGACUCGACACUUGAAAGAAACCCAUGUCUGUGAAGCACUUGUGGACCAUUCAAGAUUGUGGAAGAAUCACUCAAGAGAAGGAGAUAGCAAUAUUUGCAGAUAUGCAAACUGGCCCCUUGCAUGCACAUCCUGGAGCACGUCCUGGAGCCUUUAGAGGAGACGGCUGCUGCUGUUCCAGUCUCUCCUUAGGCAGACUUGAGUUUCUACCCACUCUUCCCAAGCAGCCGCCCCUCCGCACCCGAGCGAGCCAAAGACCUGGCGGGCUGAGUACUCACUGCGCGCUGGACACAUGCUGAGCCGGCACUGCAGGGACACAGGGCGAGCCGCUGGAUGCAGACCUGUGGCCGCGGCAGAAAUGGAGUCUUGCUAUGUUGCUCAGGCCGGUCUUGAACUCCUGGUCUCAAGACAGUCCUUCCUGGGAUUAUAGACAUGAGCCACCACACCUGGCCAAGAUUUUCUUUUCUCUAGCUUAUGUUAAGAAUAUAUAAUACAUAUGACAUACAAAAUAUAUGUUAAUUGAUUGUUUUAUGUUUUCAGUAAGGCUUCCAGUCAACAGUAGGCUAUUAGUAGCUAAGUUUUUGGGGAGUUAUAUGCAAAAGUUAUAUGCAGAUUUUCGACUGAGAGAAAGAUCCAUGUACACAUUGUUCAAGGGUUAAUUGUGCUGUAUAUAGAAUAAAAAAAAAUUUGUAACCUCACAGGACAAAAUAAUGAAAAUAAAAAUAAAGAUUAAAAUAGG